AAGUCGUAACAAGGUUUCCGUAGGUGAACCUGCGGAAGGAUCAUUACCGAUUUGAGCGAGCCUGGUCUUUUUGACCAUGGUCUCGCGAAAACUUUGUAUUUAAAACCCCACUCUUGUAAUUAAUAAAUGUUAUAUUAUGAUAAAAAUAAAGAUCACUUUCAACAACGGAUCUCUUGGCUCUC
This 182-nucleotide unclassified non-coding RNA is filed under the name Rhizophagus sp. (in: glomeromycetes). RNAcentral's name for it is "Rhizophagus sp. (in: Fungi) partial internal transcribed spacer region". The stretch from base 1 to 46 matches the Rfam family "Eukaryotic small subunit ribosomal RNA", at positions 1786 to 1831 of the family's 1831-position model. The record is from RNAcentral. Lineage: Eukaryota; Fungi; Glomeromycota; Glomeromycetes; Glomerales; Glomeraceae.